This 280-nucleotide ribosomal RNA is filed under the name Pseudo-nitzschia fraudulenta. RNAcentral's name for it is "partial 28S ribosomal RNA". It matches the Rfam family "Eukaryotic large subunit ribosomal RNA", at positions 186 to 475 of the family's 3401-position model. Lineage: Eukaryota; Bacillariophyta; Bacillariophyceae; Bacillariales; Bacillariaceae. The record is from RNAcentral.
UUCCUUGGAAAAGACAGCUGAGAGGGUGAAACUCCCGUCCGCCUGGUAGAAUGAGUCUUUGUCAACGAGUCGAGUUGUUUGGGAUUGCAGCUCUAAUUUGGUGGUAAAUUCCAUCUAAAGCUAAAUAUUGGUGGGAGACCGAUAGCGUACAAGUACCGUGAGGGAAAGAUGCAAAGAACUUUGAAAAGAGAGUUAAAGAGUACCUGAAAUUGCUGAAACGGAAGCGAAGGAAACCAGUGUUUGUUGGUUCAUAUUUCCCUGGCCACUUGUGGUUUGGGCG